AUGAAGAACGCAGCGAAAUGCGAUAAGUAAUGUGAAUUGCAGAAUUCCGUGAAUCAUCGAAUCUUUGAACGCAUAUUGCGCCCCCUGGUAUUCCGGGGGGCAUGCCUGUCCGAGCGUCAUUGCUGCCCUCAAGCCCGGCUUGUGUGUUGGGUCUCGUCCCCCUUCCCGGGGGGACGGGCCCGAAAGGCAGCGGCGGCACCGUGUCCGGUCCUCGAGCGUAUGGGGCUUUGUCACCCGCUCUGUAGGCCCGGCCGGCGCUUGCCGAUCAACCAAAACUUUUUUCCAGGUUGACCUCGGAUCAGGUAGGGAUACCCGCUGAACUUAAGCAUAUCAAUAAGCGGAGGA
Molecule: unclassified non-coding RNA, 345 nt
Filed under: soil metagenome
Description: partial contains 5.8S ribosomal RNA, internal transcribed spacer 2, and large subunit ribosomal RNA
Rfam family: 5.8S ribosomal RNA (bases 1-119)
Source: RNAcentral